AUACGGAGGGGGCUAGCGUUGUUCGGAAUUACAGGGCGUAAAGCGCGCGUAGGCGGUUUACCAAGUCAGGCGUGAAAGCCCCAGGCUCAACCUGGGAACUGCAUUCGAAACUGAUUGACUAGAGUAUGGUAGAGGGUGGUGGAAUUCCUAGUGUAGCGGUGAAAUGCGUAGAUAUUAGGAGGAACAUCAGUGGCGAAGGCGACCACCUGGACCAAUACUGACGCUGAGGUGCGAAAGCGUGGGGAGCAAACAGGAUUAGAAACCCUGGUAGUCC
RNAcentral lists this ribosomal RNA (274 nucleotides) under uncultured bacterium. RNAcentral describes it as "partial 16S ribosomal RNA". It matches the Rfam family "Bacterial small subunit ribosomal RNA", at positions 523 to 796 of the family's 1533-position model. The record is from RNAcentral.